UCACACGUGGUGGCCGAAACCUGAGCGUUU
This 30-nucleotide small RNA is filed under the name Bombyx mori (domestic silkworm). RNAcentral's name for it is "ovarian small RNA-25003". The record is from RNAcentral. Lineage: Eukaryota; Metazoa; Arthropoda; Insecta; Lepidoptera; Bombycidae.